CCCUUAGAUGUUCUGGGCCGCACGCGCGCUACACUGAUUCAUGCAACAAGUUUUGUCCUUGGCUGAUAGGCCUGGGUAAUCUUUGAACGCUGGUCGUGAUGGGGAUAGACUUUUGCAAUUUUUGGUCUUCAACGAGGAAUUCCUAGUAAACGCAAGUCAUCAACUUGCAUUGAUUACGUCCCUGCCCUUUGUACACACCGCCCGUCGCACCUACCGAUUGAAUGGUCCGGUGAAGCCUCCGGAUUGGCGCGCACCUCGGUGCCGCCGAGAAGUUGGCUAAACCUUACCAUUUAGAGGAAGGUGAAGUCGUAACA
This 314-nucleotide ribosomal RNA is filed under the name uncultured eukaryote. Its description in RNAcentral is "partial 18S ribosomal RNA". It matches the Rfam family "Eukaryotic small subunit ribosomal RNA", at positions 1470 to 1796 of the family's 1831-position model. The record is from RNAcentral.